UGGGGAUGCAGCUUAGUGGUAGAGUGCUUGCCCAGCAUGUGAGAUCCCUGGGUUCAAUCCCCAGUACCACAA
Molecule: transfer RNA, 72 nt
Filed under: Marmota monax (woodchuck)
Lineage: Eukaryota; Metazoa; Chordata; Mammalia; Rodentia; Sciuridae
Description: tRNA.Ala
Source: RNAcentral